GCCUCUUUCAAUAUUCUGUGGGAGACGCCGUAACCUAAUUCUAGGGUUUCCAGAAAUUUUUGAUUCUGCGAUUCAAUCACAAGUAAUCGUUUGUAUCGCGCCAAAUCGAUCUGAAAUCUGAACCAUAGUGUUGUAUUUUUUGCGAUUUAUUUUUGUUUUUUGGUAAAGAAAGGGAGGGAAGUCUCAGAUCUGAAAUCGAAAAGGGAUUUGUCUGUGUAUUGAGGAUGUCUCGGUGCUUCCCAUACCCACCACCUGGCUAUUCGCUGAAUAGAUCCAGCAAUGAAGCCUUGAUCGAAUCGAUUAAGGUUUGUUGAAACAAAGAGCACUUGAAUUUAUGUGUUUACGCUCUUGUUGCCUGAUAUAAUCUAGCAGGGAUCUAUACUCUAUGUAAAUCUGUAAGGAAAAUUUGUGGUUUUCGUGGGUUGUGCAGGUUGUCAACUUGGAUUUAGGGUUUGUAGGAUUUGAUUUGCACUGGGAUAAAUUGACGUUUUUGUUAGCCGAUUUGUGUGGAUUUAUUAAUUAUACCUUGUUAGAAAUGAGGAUUAGUAUAUACUUUUUUGUGCUCACCUUGUGGAUUUAACAGUAUUUAAUGAAUUCCACGCGAAUAGGUUAUGGGAAAUCUGAGCAAUUUGAUAUCAUUCUAACCUUUGGUAAAGGAGAGGUGAUAAGUUUAGGCAACUUUUAGGCUUUCAAUUUGUUGUUUGUGGAGGAAAUCGUAAUGAGAAGUUAGAAGUGUAUGCAAACAUUGAGGUGUUAAUGUAUUGUUUGAGGAAGAAGUCUAGCUAGGCAAAAACCUGUGCUUGAAUAGAUUUUCGAACUUGUAAUAUACUUUUUUUAAAAAGUAAUCACUAUACAUCAAAGAUGUUUGAGAAAAGAUUUUUGGGUAAAACUAGGUACUCUUCGAAAGUCAAAUUUUUGCAGAUUGUUCAUACAAAAACUAAUUGUGCAUACUUGAAAAGCCAUUCGGAAAAAUUGUAUUUCACACUACUAGUCGCAGCUAUAACUACUAAUUGAAGCUGUUUAGGAUUAUAAAUAUGGAUGUCCUGGGUCCAUACCAUGUUCCUUUCCUGCGUCUCUUUGUUUCUUUCCAUGGUAGAAGGUUUAAAUGAGAUUCCGUCUGUGAAAUUAGUUUUCUUAAGAUUCCCCUGUAACCCUGUCACAACUAUAGAAAGUUACUAUUCGGUUUAGUCCACAAUGUGAGUGUUCUGUAAUAUGGUUAUUCUUUUCUACCUGCAUAAUUAGGGUUCGCAUCACUAAUCCUUUGUUUGUAGUCUUUGCUUGAUUUAGCUUGGUUAUCACUUUUUAUGCAACUUCAUCUAUAGACCAGGGGCCAGUUCUUUGUGGUAAGUAGAAUUGGGUGAUUGAGAUUGUGCAUUCUGUCAUAAUGAUAGAAGUAUAUGUUGUGAACCCAACACAUGUUUGGUGCCUACACUCAUGUCUGUUUGAUAUGAUAAAAGUUCAGUGAAUGAUCCUCAGAAUCUGAGGGAUCUUAAUUGUUCAUUAUCCUUCUGGUCAUGCUGUAUUAGUCUUCUAUCUCCCUCUAUUCUGAACUUGUUAUCCUGGUGCUCUAAAGCUCCAAAAGGAGAGGGAGGUAGCUAAAGCAGAAAAGGAGGACAGGAAGAGGGAAAAGAAAGAAAAGAAAAGAGAAGAGAAGAAGGCAAAAAAGGAGAAGAGUAAUCUUGGCUUUGGUAAGGCCACUCAUGAGUCCAAAGGGAAGUACUUGUUCAAAUGUUUUGAAGAUGAAGCUGAGCAGUUGGAGAGGAGCAAUCUCACCGAGGAGCAUGAGCCUGCUGUGUGUUCACAGAAUUCCAGCUGCUCAUCCGACAGCACCCAGAACAGUAAUAAAAGGAAGAGGCCUGCUUCACCUUCACCUUCACGAGGUGGCAUACAGGCGCAUGGUAGUUCUUUCCCUUUAUAUAUAAUACUUACUAUUUUGGUCUAAUGUUAUGUUUUAUCUGUUGCUAAUCUGAAGUUUUGCUGCUCGACAAUAGGUAGCAUUAUCAGAAUUAGAUUGUCUAAAAAGGGUGUGCAAGGUGAAAUAUCAGUAUCCAAAGAGAAGCACUUGCCAAAACCUGCUCAACAAGUUGCGGAGGUUACUGUCAGGACAUCUGCCGAAAGAGCCAACCCUUUGUUGAAAACUACAAACAAAGGAAGUUGUCCUCCUCCUGUAGCAGUUUCAGAGCCAAGUACAUCCAAUUGUGGGUGGGUUGACCGUGUGGCUGAAGACAACGCAACUCCAUCAUGUUCCAAAGUGCACGAGAACAGCAUAGAGUUUCAUUACAAGAAUUUGAUUGAGAACUGGCUUCCACCAAGUCUGCCAAGUGAUAAUCUAGAUUUGGAGGAUGAUCAAUCAUGGCUGUUUCAAAGAAAACCUAAGCAAGCUCGAGUUGAGGAAAAAAACUUAGGCGGCAGUGACAAAACUUGUGGAAGCUGCAGUUCAUUGUGGCAGCAACGGGCACAAUACCUUCCUGAUGUUGAGUUGUAUGCAUUGCCCUACACAGUUCCUUUUUGAAUCACAUAACCGUGUGUAUAGAAGAUGUUUUAGCUGGAUAUACUGCUCAGGGAAUUUUGUAGCUCUUCUCUGGGAACUGAUGUAGUUUGAACAGGAUUUAGGCGCGAUGACAAAAAUAUUCUUUUUUAUUUUUUAGCUGCCAGUUGCUAUCUUCAGAAAUCCAUUGUUCUACAUCAAUGAAAAUGAUCAAUAUAGUAUUGGAUAUUUUCUUUCUCAAAUCCUCGUUUAUUG
This 2743-nucleotide unclassified non-coding RNA is filed under the name Hevea brasiliensis (rubber tree). The record is from RNAcentral. Lineage: Eukaryota; Viridiplantae; Streptophyta; Magnoliopsida; Malpighiales; Euphorbiaceae.